RNAcentral lists this ribosomal RNA (220 nucleotides) under Salmonella enterica subsp. enterica serovar Infantis. Its description in RNAcentral is "partial 16S ribosomal RNA". It matches the Rfam family "Bacterial small subunit ribosomal RNA", at positions 1 to 217 of the family's 1533-position model. The record is from RNAcentral. Lineage: Bacteria; Pseudomonadati; Pseudomonadota; Gammaproteobacteria; Enterobacterales; Enterobacteriaceae. RNAcentral also lists the same sequence under 107 other names.
AAAUUGAAGAGUUUGAUCAUGGCUCAGAUUGAACGCUGGCGGCAGGCCUAACACAUGCAAGUCGAACGGUAACAGGAAGCAGCUUGCUGCUUCGCUGACGAGUGGCGGACGGGUGAGUAAUGUCUGGGAAACUGCCUGAUGGAGGGGGAUAACUACUGGAAACGGUGGCUAAUACCGCAUAACGUCGCAAGACCAAAGAGGGGGACCUUCGGGCCUCUUG